GAUGAACGCUGGCGGCGUGCCUAAUACAUGCAAGUCGAGCGAACAGAUGAGGAGCUUGCUCCUCUGACGUUAGCGGCGGACGGGUGAGUAACACGUGGAUAGCCUACCUAUAAGACUGGGAUAACUUCGGGAAACCGGAGCUAAUACCGGAUAAUAUAUUGAACCGCAUGGUUCAAUAGUGAAAGACGGUUUUGCUGUCACUUAUAGAUGGAUCCGCGCCGCAUUAGCUAGUUGGUAAGGUAACGGCUUACCAAGGCAACGAUGCGUAGCCGACCUGGAGGGGUGAUCAGCCACACUGGAACUGAGACACGGUCCAGACUCCUACGGGAGGCAGCAGUAGGGAAUCUUCCGCAAUGGGCGAAAGCCUGACGGAGCAACGCCGCGUGAGUGAUGAGGGUCUUCGGAUCGUAAAACUCUGUUAUUAGGGAAGAACAAAUGUGUAAGUAACUAUGCACGUCUUGACGGUACCUAAUCAGAAAGCCACGGCUAACUACGUG
This 497-nucleotide ribosomal RNA is filed under the name uncultured bacterium. RNAcentral describes it as "partial 16S ribosomal RNA". It matches the Rfam family "Bacterial small subunit ribosomal RNA", at positions 28 to 507 of the family's 1533-position model. The record is from RNAcentral.